CACUCACACAAGUGUCAGUUCUAAUCCAAGACGUUUAAUUUAAAAUCAAGUUCUGGAAUUCUUUGAAGAGGAAUGCCAUAAACUGAGGUAAAAGAUUGCGGAUGGGGUCAGAUAGCGUUUAGAUGAUUAAAAUGAAAUUCUGGGUUUGGAUAUUUGUGGUUGAACAUAAUCUUCCUUAGCUCUGCAUCAUUGUUUCAAAGUUCUGUAUGGUCAGGGUUGUUUCAUCGGUGACUUGGUUGUG
Molecule: unclassified non-coding RNA, 241 nt
Filed under: Hevea brasiliensis (rubber tree)
Lineage: Eukaryota; Viridiplantae; Streptophyta; Magnoliopsida; Malpighiales; Euphorbiaceae
Source: RNAcentral